This 207-nucleotide ribosomal RNA is filed under the name uncultured bacterium. RNAcentral's name for it is "partial 16S ribosomal RNA". It matches the Rfam family "Bacterial small subunit ribosomal RNA", at positions 568 to 774 of the family's 1533-position model. The record is from RNAcentral.
UGCGUAGGCGGUCGGAUAAGUUUGAUGUGAAAUCUCCGGGCUUAACCCGGAAACUGCAUUGAAUACUAUUCGGCUUGAGGUCUGGAGGGGGGACUGGAAUUCUCGGUGUAGCAGUGAAAUGCGUAGAUAUCGAGAGGAACACCAGUGGCGAAGGCGAGUCCCUGGACAGGUCCUGACGCUGAGGCACGAAAGCUAGGGGAGCAAACA